AGCGCAGGCGGACGGGUCAGUCUGAAGUGGAAAUCCGGGGCUCAACCUCGGACUUGCUUCGGAUACUGCCUGUCUUGAGUUCGUGAGAGGAAGAUGGAAUUCAGGGUGUAGCGGUGAAAUGCUCAGAUAUCCUGAGGAACACCAGUGGCGAAAGCGGUCUUCUGGCACGAAACUGACGCUGAGGCUCGAAAGCGUGGGGAGCGAACG
RNAcentral lists this ribosomal RNA (207 nucleotides) under uncultured bacterium. Its description in RNAcentral is "partial 16S ribosomal RNA". It matches the Rfam family "Bacterial small subunit ribosomal RNA", at positions 568 to 774 of the family's 1533-position model. The record is from RNAcentral.